GAGAAGAACGCAGCGAAAUGCGAUAAGUAAUGUGAAUUGCAGAAUUCAGUGAAUCAUCGAAUCUUUGAACGCACAUUGCGCCCCCUGGUAUUCCGGGGGGCAUGCCUGUCCGAGCGUCAUUACAACCCUCAAGCUCAGCUUGGUGUUGGGCCCCGCCGCCCCGGCGGGCCCUAAAGUCAGUGGCGGUGCCGUCCGGCUCCGAGCGUAGUAAUUCUUCUCGCUCUGGAGGUCCGGUCGUGUGCUCGCCAGCAACCCCCAAUUUUUUUCAGGUUGACCUCGGAUCAGGUAGGGAUACCCGCUGAACUUAAGCAUAUCAAUAAGCGGAGGA
This 328-nucleotide unclassified non-coding RNA is filed under the name soil metagenome. Its description in RNAcentral is "partial contains 5.8S ribosomal RNA, internal transcribed spacer 2, and large subunit ribosomal RNA". The stretch from base 3 to 119 matches the Rfam family "5.8S ribosomal RNA", at positions 38 to 154 of the family's 154-position model. The record is from RNAcentral.